Non-coding RNA from Python bivittatus (Burmese python), 929 nucleotides. The record is from RefSeq and is a predicted model, not a curated record. Lineage: Eukaryota; Metazoa; Chordata; Lepidosauria; Squamata; Pythonidae.
CCUCUUUCCAGAAGUGGUGGCGGCGGCCGCGGUCUUCCGCCGGGGUUGAAUCCGUUGAUAAUCUCAGUCGUGCUUGGCCAUCCGUCCCUGUGGCCGCCUCGGGAAUAUUUCAGCGCCUGCAAGGAAGACAUUUCCACAAAAUCUUACCGAAGAUGGAGGGUCUGUUCUCGAGGUGUCUCCUUGGGGAGAGCAGCUGGGUGUCUUUAUGGAAAGCCGGCACCAUCCGGGUCUGGACACCAGAUCUCUUGAUGCCUCGUCGGUUCAGAACUUGAGUGCUGCAAGGUCUCAGGUGAGCUGCAGCAUCACAAGAUGGACUGAAGAAAUUCUAGAAUGCCUUAGCAUAGAAACAAAAUUGAAAAUGCCCACAGUGAACUUUGUUCGGCAAUAAAAGAAGGGAAGAAGAUCAAUUUCUGUGUUACAGACUUCUUAGUGCCAGUGGAUCAAAGUCCUUGGUUGGGUGCUAACUCAAGAACUAUCAUUUUUCCUUACGGGAUUGAAGAUUCUGGCAAGAGUUGUGGGGUGAAAACCAUUGUUUUUCCCCACUUUGGGAAUGGAUGUCAUUGAAUACGGGAAGGAAAACCUCUCUUCCUUGUUGACCCUUGUAAAGAAAUUACGCUAGAAAACAAGAAUUGGCCAUGACGUUUUUGAAUAAUGCAGUGUAUCCACUAGGAAUGAGUAAACUGUCCUGCAUACUCACUCACUAGGCUAGAAGCAAUGAGGGUAAAAAAUUAAUUAUACAUUUUCAACAAAUUUCUUGUCUGAAUUAAAUGUAGUUCAGUGUUGUCCCAAUUGACAAAUACACAACUCUGCGUUUGCAAUCUUAUGCACAUUUACACAGGAAUAAGCUGAGCUGAACCCAGUGGGAUUUGCUUUAUAAGUAGAUGCACUGGAUAUUCAUAACUUUGCAUAAAAUAAAAUAUUAUACAGUA